RNAcentral lists this ribosomal RNA (486 nucleotides) under uncultured bacterium. Its description in RNAcentral is "bacterial SSU rRNA". It matches the Rfam family "Bacterial small subunit ribosomal RNA", at positions 900 to 1398 of the family's 1533-position model. The record is from RNAcentral.
CUCAAAGGAAUNCCCGGGGGCCCGCACAAGCAGCGGAGCGUGUGGUUUAAUUCGAUGAUACACGAAGAACCUUACCAGGGUUUGACAUACAUGUGGUAGUGAAGCGAAAGUGGAACGACCCCUCGGGGAGCAUGAACAGGUGCUGCAUGGCUGUCGUCAGCUCGUGUCGUGAGAUGUUCGGUUAAGUCCGCUAACGAGCGCAACCCUUGUUGUGUGUUACACGUAUCACGCAAGACCGCCGGUAGAAAGCCGGAGGAAGGUGGGGAUGACGUCAAGUCAGCAUGGCCUUUAUAUCCUGGGCUACACACACGCUACAAUGGGUGGAACAAUGGGAAGCGAAGCGGCGACGCGGAGCGAAUCCUCCAAAACCAUCCUCAGUUCAGAUUGCAGGCUGCAACUCGCCUGCAUGAAGAUGGAGUUGCUAGUAAACGCAGGUCAGCGAUACUGCGUUGAAUACGUUCCCGGGCCUUGUACACACCGCCCGUC